RNAcentral lists this long non-coding RNA (715 nucleotides) under Nicotiana benthamiana. RNAcentral's name for it is "long non-coding RNA (NBEN_LNC039719)". The record is from RNAcentral. Lineage: Eukaryota; Viridiplantae; Streptophyta; Magnoliopsida; Solanales; Solanaceae.
ACACAAUCUAUAAAAUAUAGACGCCUGGAAUUUUCUUCAGCGAGGCAGCUGCUUCACAGAAAAAACACACGCUACAAUACACAUAUACACAAAGAGAGACCUGGAAAAUUGAAGAAGCUGCGCAGCUUUGGUUACUUCUUCACAAAAAACAUACACACAAAAUACACAAUAUAGGGACGCCUAUACAGAAGAAGGGGUUUUGCGCAGCUGGGGGCUGCUUCUUCACAACAAAAUACGCAUAUACAAAAGAGAAGAUAGAGAAACACCUGGAAAAAUUUUGAACGCAGCUGCGCAGCUCUUGGACGCAACCCCCGACGAUCUCUCUUCUUCUCCGACCAAAUGAACCCCCUCCCAUUGAUUCAUCUCCUCCCGAAACUCAAUCAACUAAAGCCAUCGAGACCAGCGGAGCCCGUCGGUUGGAAACCCAGCAGAAACAGUGACGAGCUCGCCGCAAAAUGAGUUGACACCACCACCAAAGCCUCGCCUCGACACUACUGCUUCAUAUUUCGUCCAUCCUUUAAACCUCAGGACUUUUCUUGACUCAAAACCAGUCCAGCAAUCUGUCGUAGUGGAAAAUUAUCUGCGCUUGAGACCAUGUCGAGAUCUAUCGAUUUAAAGCUCGUUGUUUGAAGCUUCGACAAGAGGUUCCCGUUCGAGGUUAUCGCAUCGAAGUCUCCGGUGCUGGUUCUGUCGCCGGGAGGGUAUUCACCUUCGG